CCGGAGCUUGCUCCACCGGAAAAAGAGGAGUGGCGAACGGGUGAGUAACACGUGGGUAACCUGCCCAUCAGAAGGGGAUAACACUUGGAAACAGGUGCUAAUACCGUAUAACAAUCAAAACCGCAUGGUUUUGAUUUGAAAGGCGCUUUCGGGUGUCGCUGAUGGAUGGACCCGCGGUGCAUUAGCUAGUUGGUGAGGUAACGGCUCACCAAGGCCACGAUGCAUAGCCGACCUGAGAGGGUGAUCGGCCACAUUGGGACUGAGACACGGCCCAAACUCCUACGGGAGGCAGCAGUAGGGAAUCUUCGGCAAUGGACGAAAGUCUGACCGAGCAACGCCGCGUGAGUGAAGAAGGUUUUCGGAUCGUAAAACUCUGUUGUUAGAGAAGAACAAGGAUGAGAGUAACUGUUCAUCCCUUGACGGUAUCUAACCAGAAAGCCACGGCUAACUACGUGCCAGCAGCCGCGGUAAUACGUAGGUGGCAAGCGUUGUCCGGAUUUAUUGGGCGUAAAGCGAGCGCAGGCGGUUUCUUAAGUCUGAUGUGAAAGCCCCCGGCUCAACCGGGGAGGGUCAUUGGAAACUGGGAGACUUGAGUGCAGAAGAGGAGAGUGGAAUUCCAUGUGUAGCGGUGAAAUGCGUAGAUAUAUGGAGGAACACCAGUGGCGAAGGCGGCUCUCUGGUCUGUAACUGACGCUGAGGCUCGAAAGCGUGGGGAGCAAACAGGAUUAGAUACCCUGGUAGUCCACGCCGUAAACGAUGAGUGCUAAGUGUUGGAGGGUUUCCGCCCUUCAGUGCUGCAGCUAACGCAUUAAGCACUCCGCCUGGGGAGUACGACCGCAAGG
This 842-nucleotide ribosomal RNA is filed under the name Enterococcus faecium. Its description in RNAcentral is "bacterial SSU rRNA". It matches the Rfam family "Bacterial small subunit ribosomal RNA", at positions 73 to 893 of the family's 1533-position model. The record is from RNAcentral. Lineage: Bacteria; Bacillati; Bacillota; Bacilli; Lactobacillales; Enterococcaceae.